RNAcentral lists this ribosomal RNA (492 nucleotides) under uncultured bacterium. RNAcentral describes it as "partial 16S ribosomal RNA". It matches the Rfam family "Bacterial small subunit ribosomal RNA", at positions 29 to 507 of the family's 1533-position model. The record is from RNAcentral.
AGUGAACGCUGGCGGUAGGCCUAACACAUGCAAGUCGAACGGCAGCACAGUAAGAGCUUGCUCUUACGGGUGGCGAGUGGCGGACGGGUGAGGAAUGCAUCGGAAUCUACUUUUUCGUGGGGGAUAACGUAGGGAAACUUACGCUAAUACCGCAUACGACCUACGGGUGAAAGCAGGGGAUCUUCGGACCUUGCGCGAUUGAAUGAGCCGAUGUCGGAUUAGCUAGUUGGCGGGGUAAAGGCCCACCAAGGCGACGAUCCGUAGCUGGUCUGAGAGGAUGAUCAGCCACACUGGAACUGAGACACGGUCCAGACUCCUACGGGAGGCAGCAGUGGGGAAUAUUGGACAAUGGGCGCAAUCCUGAUCCAGCCAUACCGCGUGGGUGAAGAAGGCCUUCGGGUUGUAAAGCCCUUUUGUUGGGAAAGAAAAGCAGCAGGUUAAUACCCCGCUGUUCUGACGGUACCCAAAGAAUAAGCACCGGCUAACUUCGUG